Molecule: ribosomal RNA, 464 nt
Filed under: uncultured bacterium
Lineage: Bacteria
Description: partial 16S ribosomal RNA
Rfam family: Bacterial small subunit ribosomal RNA
Source: RNAcentral
GACGAACGCUGGCGGCGUGCUUAACACAUGCAAGUCGAACGGAAAGGCCCUGCUUGCAGGGUACUCGAGUGGCGAACGGGUGGGUAACACGUGGGUGAUCUGCCCUGCACUUCGGGAUAAGCCUGGGAAACUGGGUCUAAUACCGGAUAGGAGCCAUUUUUAGUGUGAUGGUUGGAAAGUUUUUUCGGUGUAGGAUGAGCUCGCGGCCUAUCAGCUUGUUGGUGGGGUAAUGGCCUACCAAGGCGGCGACGGGUAGCCGGCCUGAGAGGGUGGACGGCCACAUUGGGACUGAGAUACGGCCCAGACUCCUACGGGAGGCAGCAGUGGGGAAUAUUGCACAAUGGGCGCAAGCCUGAUGCAGCGACGCCGCGUGGGGGAUGACGGCCUUCGGGUUGUAAACUCCUUUCGCUAGGGACGAAGCUUUUUGUGACGGUACCUAGAUAAGAAGCACCGGCUAACUACGU